AUGAUCGAAUUAACUGCGGUUGCUACGGUGGCGGCGAAGAUCACGCCUAAGCUCGCCGGUUUCUUUCUGAGAAGACGGAGGCUGCUGGCGGAACUGGAGCAUGACAUCGAACACAUCCAAAGGGAGUGUUCGAUCAUUGCUGCCGCCAUCACAGAUGAUCGUAAUCAUCAGCAUGCGAGCGACGCCGCCGUGGCACAUCAGGAAUGGAUCAAGAUCGUGCGUGACUUGGCGUACGACAUUGAUGACUGCAUCGACCGCUUCAUACACCGCGUCUCGACGGCGACCGUCGCGGACGCGGGGUGGAUCCGUCGGAAAGCUCACCGGGUGAAGACAGUGCGGGCCCGUGGCAAGUUUGCCGCGGCAAUCGCUCGUCUCAGGAAGCGGUCUGACGAGGCAUCGGAGCUGAGAAAGAAGUACACCGAUCUAGCGUAUGGAGAUGGCCGGGCCACCGCCGUCUUUGAGUCACGGGCACCUGAGGCCAAGCCGGAACCGGAGCCGGAGACGUACACAGAUAGCCCCGUCGGCAUGGAAGCGCCCGAGGAGGAGCUCAUGGAGCUGAUAAGGGGAACUUCGACGCAAGGUGAAGAACCCAAGGAGAAGCUCAAGGUGAUUUCCAUCGUGGGAUUCGGUGGUAUCGGCAAGUCUCAACUUGCCAAGCGUGUGUACGACACACUUGACGACGAGGGGCAAUACCAAGCACGGGCUUGGGUUCGAGCUGCAGAGAAAGGCCCAGAAGAUCUUCUCCAAGCAAUAUUGCAGGAACUUGGGACGCAUACCACCACCAUUAGCGCAAGCUCCAGCAACAGCAAGCUCUGUGCAACCAUACAAAAGCGCCUUGGGACACAGAGGUUCUUCAUUGUAAUCGAUGACAUGCGGGAAGACUUUUGGGUCGAUAUAAAAGAUGCUUUCCCUGUUAUUCCUGGGGUCGACAGUAGAGUGCUCGUCACGACGGCCAGGCAGACCAUAGCAAUGAAAAGCAGCAGUCGUGAUGGUCAUGUGUACGUAAUGAGAACUCUUGCCGACGAUCAUUCAAGACAACUGUUCUGUGAGGAAGCUUCCUUGGUGUAUCCACCAUCAGUCGGUGAUACGAAGCUGAGUUCAGAGGUAAUAAAGAGGUGUGAUGGUCUGCCCCUUGCUCUUGUUACCACAGGACGGCUGUUGCACGGUGAAUCCAGACAGGAACAAUGGGCAGAUCUGGGAGGAAACCUUGGCGAACAUCUGGAGAACAAUAAGAAGUUAGCAAGUAUGAAUAGUGUGCUCAUCCGUAGCUACAGCGGCCUAAGUAAGCAACAUAUCAAGACAUGCUUGUUAUAUCUUGGUAUUUACCCAAGUGGCCGCCCGAUCAGGAGAGGAAGCCUGAUAAGGCGAUGGUCUGCUGAAGGUUUCAUCAAAGCAGAGCAUAAACGCAGUGCCCGGGAGGUCGCUGUUGCCAAUUUUAGUGAGCUGGUCGACUGGAGCAUCAUCCAGCCAAUUGAUGCCAGCGGCAGCGGCAGAGCCGAGGUGAAGGCAUGCCAAACUCACGGCAUAAUGCUCGAGUUCCUCCUGCACAAGUCCAUGUGUGAGAAUUUUGUUACCUUGUUGUACGAUGAUGUUCCCCCACCCAGUAAAGUUCGUUGGCUCUCUCUGCAUAAUGGAAGUGCUGCAAGCUCCAGAAUUAAUCCAAAUGAUGUACCCUUUCUUCGUUCUCUGACAAUCUUUGGCAAAGCCCACAAAUCUGUCUUGAAUUUUUCCAAGUAUAAACUGAUGAGAGUUUUGGAUUUAGAAGAGUGCCAUGAACACAUGGAGGACAAGCAUCUCAAGGGGAUAUGCAGCAAUCUGGUGCUACUCAGGUACCUAAGCCUCCGGGGCGCUUCUAAAAUUACAGUUCUCCCCAAAGAGGUCAAGAAGCUUCAACUUUUGGAGACACUUGAUGUAAGAGGAACAAAUAUAGAUAUUCUCCCCACACAAGUCAUGCAACUACAAAGUUUACUUCAUCUGUUUGGAAAGUUCAAGCUCCCACAAGAUGUAGGAGGCCGGAAAAUCCGUAAGCUACAGGCUUGGUUGCAAGAGGAAGAGAACAGUAAACUGCAAACUGUAGCAGGAUUUGUUGUGGAUGACAAGAGCCAGGGAUUUGCACAGCUGAUGGGUGAAAUGAAGAAACUGACGAAGGUGAAAAUAUGGUGGGAGUCUACCACCGAUGCCAGCAGCUACUUAAGUCAUCUCUCAGAGGCCAUCAAGGAGUUCAUCGACAGAGGCACCGAUCAGAACAAAGCUCGUUCACUCUCAAUGAACAUGAACGGUGCAUGGUCUCAAGACUUGCUGAAUUUCUCCCUGGAAAAUGACUCAUCCUGCUAUGUUAGCUCGCUCAAACUGCAAGGAAACAACAUAUCCAACCUGCCUCCCUUUGUUAGCAUGCUAGGUGGACUCACUAAGCUUUGUCUUUCAUUCUCUCAUCUUCAGCUGAGCAGUGGCAUUCUUGAAGCCCUGAACAGCGUGAGCGGCCUGAAGUACCUCAAGCUGAAUGCAACUCGACUGGACAAUCUCGUCAUCAAAGAGGAUGCACUCGGAAGCCUGAAACGCCUAUGCAUCGUGGUAGAAGUCAUGACUGGGCUGGUAAUCGAAGAAGGUGCUCUGCCAGACCUUGAGUCCCUCCAGCUUAUAUGCAAGGAUCUGGAUGGCUUUAGCAGCACAAGGAUCCAGUCCCUGCCACGUCUUAAGGAGGUCGCCCUUCAUGAUGGUGUGAGCGAAGGAACAAAAGAGGAAUGGAAAGGAGCAACAAAGAACCACUCCAGGCAUCCCAAGCUCUUGUUUGUCACGAAACAAAUGGUUGAUGACCAUUUUAAACCGAUGGGAACUGAGGCUGCUCCGGAAAUUAGCCCUGAAGCGACAGCUGUUGACGCGAUGGUUGUGGGAAGUGAGCCUGUAGAGAAUUCUGAGAGCUCUGGGGCACCACCUACUGAUACCGCAUUAUUGGUUACAACGCAGCCCACCACUAUUUCUACUCAAGAAUCUGUACAAGUUGUUACUUCUGAGAUGGUUGAUGCCCAGGACCUGAUGGGAACUGAGUCUGCAAUGGAAACUAGUCCUGUGGCAACAAGUACUGAUACGACCAAAAAGAUUGAUGUGGAAAGUGAGCAUGCGUUGAAUUCUGAGAGCCUAGUAGCACCACCUACUGAUAUGAUGUUAUCAAUGACAACGCCAUCCGAUGCCAUUUCUACUGGAGAGUCUGUACAACUUAACGGUGGUUGCCAACAUAAUGACGAGGGGAAAGAUCUGGAUAACAUUGAGGACCCAAAAGAUUUUGCUACAGAAAAUGGUCUGAGCACUCAGUUGAUAAAUCACAUGAGCAAGGAAUGUUAUAAAGUGGAGAUGGAAGGAGUGGCAUGUUUAGAGGAUCUGCAUAUGAAAGAUGGCAUCCAGAAACAAGGCCUAAAAAAUAAACAGCGCCUGCGUGCAAGGUUGUUAUCGCUGGUGAAAAUUGGUGUCUUUCGUCACACAAGUCGAAAGGGGCGGUUGGUGCAUCGGCUGGAUUAA
This 3513-nucleotide ribosomal RNA is filed under the name Triticum aestivum (bread wheat). RNAcentral's name for it is "partial small subunit ribosomal RNA". Lineage: Eukaryota; Viridiplantae; Streptophyta; Magnoliopsida; Poales; Poaceae. The record is from RNAcentral.